GUGGGGAAUAUUGGACAUUGGGCGAAAGCCUGAUCCAGCCAUGCCGCGUGUGUGAAGAAGGUCUUCGGAUUGUAAAGCACUUUAAGUUGGGAGGAAGGGUAGUAACCUAAUACGUUGCUACUUUGACGUUACCGACAGAAUAAGCACCGGCUAACUUCGUGCCAGCAGCCGCGGUAAUACGAAGGGUGCAAGCGUUAAUCGGAAUUACUGGGCGUAAAGCGCGCGUAGGUGGUUCAGUAAGUUGGAGGUGAAAUCCCCGGGCUCAACCUGGGAACUGACUCCAAAACUGCAUGACUAGAGUACGGUAGAGGGUAGUGGAAUUUCCUGUGUAGCGGUGAAAUGCGUAGAUAUAGGAAGGAACACCAGUGGCGAAGGCGACUACCUGGACUGAUACUGACACUGAGGUGCGAAAGCAUGGGGAGCAAACAGGAUUAGAAACCCGAGUAGUCC
This 450-nucleotide ribosomal RNA is filed under the name uncultured bacterium. RNAcentral describes it as "partial 16S ribosomal RNA". It matches the Rfam family "Bacterial small subunit ribosomal RNA", at positions 354 to 796 of the family's 1533-position model. The record is from RNAcentral.